UGGACAAAUUAUUGUAUUCGACUGUAUUCACGGCGUGAAACAUGGGAUUACACUGUUUUUAAAACGGAAAGUGAAUCAAUUAACAUAAUAGACUCCU
Non-coding RNA from Nicotiana sylvestris (wood tobacco), 97 nucleotides. Lineage: Eukaryota; Viridiplantae; Streptophyta; Magnoliopsida; Solanales; Solanaceae. The record is from Rfam.